RNAcentral lists this ribosomal RNA (253 nucleotides) under uncultured bacterium. RNAcentral describes it as "partial 16S ribosomal RNA". It matches the Rfam family "Bacterial small subunit ribosomal RNA", at positions 524 to 776 of the family's 1533-position model. The record is from RNAcentral.
UACGUAGGGACCGAGCGUUGUCCGGAUUCAUUGGGCGUAAAGAGCUCGUAGGCGGCUGCUCAAGUCGAAUGUGAAAACUCGAGGCUCAACCUCGAGCCUGCAUUCGAUACUGGGCGGCUAGAGUCUGGUAGGGGGAUCUGGAAUUCCUGGUGUAGCGGUGAAAUGCGCAGAUAUCAGGAGGAACACCAAUGGCGAAGGCAGCUCGCUGGGACGGUACUGACGCUGAGACGCGAAAGCGUGGGGAGCAAACAGG